RNAcentral lists this ribosomal RNA (447 nucleotides) under uncultured bacterium. RNAcentral's name for it is "bacterial SSU rRNA". It matches the Rfam family "Bacterial small subunit ribosomal RNA", at positions 331 to 795 of the family's 1533-position model. The record is from RNAcentral.
CCAGACUCCUACGGGAGGCAGCAGUGGGGAAUAUUGCACAAUGGGGGAAACCCUGAUGCAGCGACGCCGCGUGAGUGAAGAAGUAUUUCGGUAUGUAAAGCUCUAUCAGCAGGGAAGAUAAUGACGGUACCUGAGUAAGAAGCCCCGGCUAACUACGUGCCAGCAGCCGCGGUAAUACGUAGGGGGCAAGCGUUAUCCGGAUUUACUGGGUGUAAAGGGAGCGUAGACGGCAUGGCAAGUCUGAAGUGAAAGCCCGGGGCUCAACCGCGGGACUGCUUUGGAAACUGUUUUGCUGGAGUAUGGGAGGGGUAAGCGGAAUUCCUGGUGUAGCGGUGAAAUGCGUAGAUAUCAGGAGGAACACCGGUGGCGAAGGCGGCUUACUGGACCAUAACUGACGUUGAGGCUCGAAAGCGUGGGGAGCGAACAGGAUUAGAUACCCCGGUAAAC